RNAcentral lists this ribosomal RNA (499 nucleotides) under uncultured bacterium. RNAcentral describes it as "bacterial SSU rRNA". It matches the Rfam family "Bacterial small subunit ribosomal RNA", at positions 28 to 514 of the family's 1533-position model. The record is from RNAcentral.
GAUGAACGCUAGCUACAGGCUUAACACAUGCAAGUCGAGGGGAAACGAUAGAGAAAGCUUGCUUUUUCUAGGCGUCGACCGGCGCACGGGUGAGUAACGCGUAUCCAACCUGCCCAUCACUUGGGGAUAACCUUGCGAAAGUAAGACUAAUACCCAAUGAUAUCUCUAGAAGACAUCUGAAAGAGAUUAAAGAUUUAUCGGUGAUGGAUGGGGAUGCGUCUGAUUAGCUUGUUGGCGGGGUAACGGCCCACCAAGGCGACGAUCAGUAGGGGUUCUGAGAGGAAGGUCCCCCACAUUGGAACUGAGACACGGUCCAAACUCCUACGGGAGGCAGCAGUGAGGAAUAUUGGUCAAUGGACGAGAGUCUGAACCAGCCAAGUAGCGUGCAGGAUGACGGCCCUAUGGGUUGUAAACUGCUUUUAUAAGGGAAUAAAGUGAGUCUCGUGAGGCUUUUUGCAUGUACCUUAUGAAUAAGGACCGGCUAAUUCCGUGCCAGCAG